GAUGAACGCUGGCGGCGUGCCUAAUACAUGCAAGUCGAGCGAACAGACGAGGAGCUUGCUCCUCUGAUGUUAGCGGCGGACGGGUGAGUAACACGUGGAUAACCUAUCUAUAAGACUGGGAUAACUUCGGGAAACCGGAGCUAAUACCGGAUAACAUGUUGAACCGCAUGGUUCAACAGUGAAAGACGGUCUUGCUGUCACUUAUAGAUGGAUCCGCGCCGCAUUAGCUAGUUGGUAAGGUAACGGCUUACCAAGGCAACGAUGCGUAGCCGACCUGAGAGGGUGAUCGGCCACACUGGAACUGAGACACGGUCCAGACUCCUACGGGAGGCAGCAGUAGGGAAUCUUCCGCAAUGGGCGAAAGCCUGACGGAGCAACGCCGCGUGAGUGAAGAAGGUCUUCGGAUCGUAAAACUCUGUUAUUAGGGAAGAACAAAUGUGUAAGUAACUAUGCACGUCUUGACGGUACCUAAUCAGAAAGCCACGGCUAACUACGUG
This 497-nucleotide ribosomal RNA is filed under the name uncultured bacterium. RNAcentral's name for it is "partial 16S ribosomal RNA". It matches the Rfam family "Bacterial small subunit ribosomal RNA", at positions 28 to 507 of the family's 1533-position model. The record is from RNAcentral.